RNAcentral lists this transfer RNA (70 nucleotides) under Marmota monax (woodchuck). Its description in RNAcentral is "tRNA.Ala". The record is from RNAcentral. Lineage: Eukaryota; Metazoa; Chordata; Mammalia; Rodentia; Sciuridae.
GGAUGUAGCUCAGUUGGUAGAGUGCUUGCCCAGCAGCUACACAAGACCCUGGGUUCAAUUCCCAGCACCA